AUGCAGGGGCCAAAAGGGCUGUGGAAUGCGUGCCUUCCGCUCAAGAUCAAGGUGUUCUUCUGGCAGCUGUUCAGGAAUAGACUACCCACCUCUGAAAAUGUGGCCAAACGACAAGGCCCGGCAACCGGCACAUGUGCGAUUUGUAACGUUGCCGAGGACGCAAACCACGUUUUCUUUCGGUGCUCGUUGGCCCGUUUUGCUUGGAGCACGGUCUGGACCGCGGUUGACGUUUCCUGGGACCCUCGAUCAGCUAAUGUUCCUACGUCCAUCCUCGACUCCGUCCAGGGGAGUAACAAGCACUACAAAAAAAUACACUUUCGUGAUGAUACGUGUUUGUCACAGUAG
RNAcentral lists this ribosomal RNA (345 nucleotides) under Triticum aestivum (bread wheat). Its description in RNAcentral is "partial small subunit ribosomal RNA". The record is from RNAcentral. Lineage: Eukaryota; Viridiplantae; Streptophyta; Magnoliopsida; Poales; Poaceae.